GACGAACGCUGGCGGCGUGCCUAAUACAUGCAAGUCGAACGCUUCUUUCCUCCCGAGUGCUUGCACUCAAUUGGAAAGAGGAGUGGCGGACGGGUGAGUAACACGUGGGUAACCUACCCAUCAGAGGGGGAUAACACUUGGAAACAGGUGCUAAUACCGCAUAACAGUUUAUGCCGCAUGGCAUAAGAGUGAAAGGCGCUUUCGGGUGUCGCUGAUGGAUGGACCCGCGGUGCAUUAGCUAGUUAGUGAGGUAACGGCUCACCAAGGCCACGAUGCAUAGCCGACCUGAGAGGGUGAUCGGCCACACUGGGACUGAGACACGGCCCAGACUCCUACGGGAGGCAGCAGUAGGGAAUCUUCGGCAAUGGACGAAAGUCUGACCGAGCAACGCCGCGUGAGUGAAGAAGGUUUUCGGAUCGUAAAACUCUGUUGUUAGAGAAGAACAAGGACGUUAGUAACUGAACGUCCCCUGACGGUAUCUAACCAGAAAGCCACGGCUAACUACGUG
Molecule: ribosomal RNA, 508 nt
Filed under: uncultured bacterium
Lineage: Bacteria
Description: partial 16S ribosomal RNA
Rfam family: Bacterial small subunit ribosomal RNA
Source: RNAcentral